AGAGGUAAACAGGUGGAGUUGAACUGUAUACUCCGUGAAUUCAGCUGGUGUGGAUAUUUUGGGCUUGGUCAAAUGGGUUAGACACUGAGGUAUACUGAGCUGUAUGUCCCAGUCAGUUUGGUUGGGAUGCACGCUACGCUGAUCAUGCGUUGUGCGCCUCAGUUGUUUAUCUGCCCCCACACCAGUGCAAUUUCACGGGGUGAUCACCACGACCGGCGUUGCUGCCUGGCUGUUUUGGUCAAACUGCCCUUUCACCGUCCAUGUGGCGUUGUUUGGUCGGGAUGGCAGGUAACUCGUUAGCUUGCUUCAGUUUGCUCUCGGGUGUUUUCAGCUGGCCAAACUGGAACUGUGCAGUACGUCGGAGAUAUCGGCUCGUUGUGCGUACCCGCGUAUCCUAUAUUCCAGAGGAUCCUGGUUUGAUUAUUGUAUUGCCUAUUCAGACAGGUCCAGUAGUAUCCAGGUUCUUAUUGGUUAUUGGUUGCGUGGGCGGCACCAUGAAAGGCCAAAAGUCUGUGGUGUUGUGGUAGACUAUCCACCUGACCCGUCUUGAAACACGGACCAAGGAGAGUAACAUGUGCGCGAGUCAUUGGGCAUUACGAAACCCAAAGGCAGAGUGAAAGUGAAGGUCUGACGGUUUGUACAGACUAUGGUGAGAUCCUGUCGUUUCUCACACGUGGCACCGCCAAGCAAUAUAGAGAGCGACAGGCGCAUCACCGGCCCGCCCCAUGGCGUAGACAUGGUCAUUUUGUACUCGUGCAUCGUCGGGGCGGAGCAUGAGCGCACUUGUUGAGACCCGAAAGAUGGUGAACUAUGCUUGCGCAGGUUGAAGCCAGAGGAAACUCUGGUGGAGGACCGCAGCGAUUCUGACGUGCAAAUCGAUCGUCAAACGUGAGUAUAGGGG
This 901-nucleotide ribosomal RNA is filed under the name Xystretrum caballeroi. RNAcentral describes it as "eukaryotic LSU rRNA". It matches the Rfam family "Eukaryotic large subunit ribosomal RNA", at positions 411 to 923 of the family's 3401-position model. Lineage: Eukaryota; Metazoa; Platyhelminthes; Trematoda; Plagiorchiida; Gorgoderidae. The record is from RNAcentral.